AAUGACAAUGGGUACGAUCUUCAGGAUAUUGUAGAAUUAUCUUUUUUGGUCUAUAGUUCCAUUCUCUUCAUUUUUCUUUCCUCGUCCUCCUGUAGUAAACUAUGAUGCUCGUAUGGCAGCAUUGCUGGGUCUCUGUUCUGUAGUACAGACUAACUUGUAUCUAAUUUUAACGCUGCUAGGCCUCUGGCCUGGUAGUCACCACCAUGCGGGAGAACCCUUGACCUUCCACCAAAAUUUGCCACAAUAUGUGGCGGUUUUAAUUGGUUUCCUUCAAUCGAGUCUAUAUUCAGAUUGAAUCCCCCUCCCCUUGCCCCGUAGAUUAUGCUAGAUUAGGUUAUAGGAAUUCUAUCGUUGUGAAAAAAAAAAAAAAUUAUCUAAUUUUAAUGCCUUUUUCCUUUAUCUGUUUUGGUUUUGUUUUAAUGGCUGAAAUCGGCCCAAUCUAGCUCGGGCAGAAGCCGACCGUGAUUUGAGUUGAAAUUCAAGUCAAUGGCUGAGAUCAGCUUUAGGUCUGCUGGGCUGAUCUCGGCCGUUAAAAGACCUCUGCAGUUGCACCUACUACCACAGAGUAUCCGCUUACCAGUGCACCUCUCCUCCCCUGAGAAGGUGUAUUGUGAAAUAUCGUGUAGUGACGUUACAUUUUCUCUACACUUAAAUUUUGUGUUGAGAGUCUUAACAACAAAACAUUAAAUGAAAACGAGUUUUCAGAUGGAAUCUAGCCACCCUCACGCAGAUGACUCCCAAGGUAUUUCUGAGAACAUUUUCUUCCUACUCCAUAACCCUCUAUAUGCUCCACAAAAAUGGUUGUCCUUUGAACUAUCAGUUUUGCUAAGUCAUAUUUACCUCCUAUUUUCCAUGCACUCAUGCAACAAAAGUGUGUCAUCUGGCUCUGGACUUGGACCAAUCCUCACUCUCCCCUUUUAGCAGCAACAUCAUCCAUCAUUAGACAGACUUAGUCGAUGAAAUAAGCAUUGUUGUUUAAUUUGUUAGUUAAUCAAGUUUUGCAGUUCUAAUCUGCUUGGUUUGUGGAGAAACUUGGUAUUAAUGUUCCAGUGACAAUUUACUGCCUAAAGACUUUAUGAAAAGUUGGUAUUAAAGAUGAGAAUUUAAUCAACUACUGUAUUAAGAAAGUGAGGAAGUUAAGCAAACUACUCAAUAUAUCCAGGGUUAAGUAGAAUGUGGUCAUAUGAAUCUGACAGGAGGACACAGCUGGAAUACACUAUUAAGAACUUACAAGCUUUUGAUCGUAUAACAUUUCUUCAUAUCUCAUCUCCGCUCUGCUGAUCCUCAAAUUGUCAACAGAGCAAUCAAACACUAAAUAACAAAUGACACAAAAUGUACAUUUGGUUGGUGUUUCUAUCUGUACUUAGCUCAAACGUGUCUGUUUCCAUUAGGGACAAAAUAUCACCAGUAAUCCCCACAAGAGCAAGUACCAUCCUUGAAAUGAUGGAACCUGCGAACAUCUCUCACAAUGAUCUCCCUCUGUACAAUCUUUGAAAUGAAUUUGCAAGCAGCAUGACAAUCAUUGCAAACUCUAAGAUUCUUGGCUACUCGAAUAAGAGUAAGCUCUUUGUCUGACCCUCUUGUCUUGUUGUCAAAGAGUUUUUCUAUGGCCAUGUUAUGCUUACAGAUGUGUGUUUGCUUAUUGACUGUUUGAUUGUAUGCUUGAUUCUUACGUUCUUCCUUGUGUUUGUGUCUUUCCUGGUUUUUUUUCCUGUUCAAAAAGUUUGGUUUGCACAAUGGGAAUGAAAUUUUUUGAGAAUUUUUGUCUUUUUUUUUUUCUAUGCGAACAAAUUUUGCAUGACAAGAGAGCAAAUUUUGAAAUUGUAUGCGUGACAUGAGAAAGAUUUGAUUGUUGCAUGGUCCCAAAUCUGGGAUAUGUUAUGGUGGUUCUUGCCAGCAAGAAGUAAAAAUGGUUCAUAUCCUGCUAGGGGAAGGUUGUGAGAUGAGAUGAAUAUAUUCCAGAUAAUUGCUUUAACUUCAUAUAUUUGUAUGCUUCCUUGUCCUGCUGAAAUCUCAAUUUUCCCUUCUUAAUGAGGGAAGACUCUGAAUUUGAAUGGUUUCUAAAUUUACCUUUACUGUGUUGAUAUAAUGAGAAAGGUUUAAUAUCUGUCUUGCUGAUCAAACAAAUUUGUCUUCUGUUCUAUACCUUUCCUUCAAGAAUGCUGCUAAGAGUUGUAUCUAGAUUUGCUGGAGUUUUUUAAGGUUUGAGAAGUGUCUGUAAGUCAUGAUAUCGCUGAAAAAUGAAAUGAAAAUGACUCGUAAAUCUGAAUAAUGAGGUUAUGUUGAAACAUUGUCCCACGAUAAUGUGGAGAGGUUCUCUAUGGAAAGAUAAGAUAACAAUCGAGCAUGUUGAUGAGGCAAAGAUGUACUUUUGAAAUUGUUUGUGCAUAUUACGUGAGCACUACUAUGAUAGAAUUUCAUACAAUUGAUUCUGUUGAUAUGUUUUUGUAGUCCUCUCAUAUUCGAACAAUUGUUUUGAGGAGGCAUCUCUCAACAUACAGCAAAGCAGGUUUUCAUAAACAUGCUCAAUGAAUACAGUGAAAACUUCCAAACUUUUAAUGAUGGUAUAGAUGAAUUCCUGUUUUUGAUAAACGAUUCAGGUGGUUUUUUGGAGUAAGCUAAGAAAUACAAACUUAGGACAAGAAUGAGUUAACAAAGUUUGAAUGAGGAGAUGUACUUUUCUUUUCUUUUUUGUGUAAACCAGUGUCCAGUGACCGCAUUGGGCCCUGACUAAUCUGGAGUCGAGCAAUAAUGAAUGACUGUAAUGAAUGAUUGAACUCGGCUACAUUUUGGCUCCGUACGGAUUGGAACUUUUUUUCAAAAGCCGUUUUUGUUUGUGGAGUCUACAGUACCAAGUCCUUGUUACUUCUGCUUCUAACAUUGAAUGAUUAUAAUAAAUGAUUGGGCAAUAAUGAUGUUUUAGCAUACGAGUUAUUCUGUGUGAAAGUAAUGUGAUGUUUCUUGUGCCUUUUACCUUAAAUAGGAUUAUGUGUUGAUCUAGCUAAAUGGCGAAGAUUAUGUGUUUCAUAUACCAUGUGGGAUGUAACCGAAUGUUCUUGCUCCUAGUGCAUGGGAUUCAGUGGAUUGGGUUCAUAGAUCUUCACUGCAUGAUCCAUCACGUGAUCUAUCUUCUUUAGCUUUUUCCUCAUAUUUACUUUCUUAAGACACAGUUGAAGAAUCUACCUUAUGGCCAACCCCAGAGAAAUAUGAAACCGCCCCAUCUUUUCCAUUUAAAUUUGUCCUGUGCAUCAGCAUCAGUUGUUUACCAUCCCUCUUCCUUGUAAUGCUGACACACACAAUGGAGACAAUUGGGCAUUGAUGUCUUCACCAAACCUAUAUUUACUUACUACAUCUUCUUGCUUCUUUGGACCUUCUUGUUGGAAGCUGUACUUACUACAGAUACUUGCUUCUUUGGAGCUUGUCUCCUUUCAUUAAUCUUGUUUGGAAUCUUACUUAACCAUUGCCUCCUUUCACUUAUCCUGGAUGUAGUGGUGAAGUAUGCCAUACCUCCUGUUUGAGCUAUGUAGUUAAUGGGUUGAUACUGGUCUAAUGGCAUGGUUAUGUUUGUAUAUUUGGCAGGCGCCUGGAGAAGCUUGAGAUGUUAAAACGUCGUGGAAAAGGACCACCGAAGAAGGGUCAAGGAAAGAAAGCUGCAAAGCGCAACAAAGUCAGCACCCCUGGGAAAUAGUGACUUUGUCUUGGAGUUGAAUGUGUUCCAAGGAAAAUUUAGACUAAUUGCAUUGGAAAAAUGGGUACCUAUUGAUGGUUGUCCAGUCAUAUUCUGAGCUACUAUGUUGAUAUUGCCACAAGUUUUUUUGGGCUGACUUCAAUGACAAUGGGUACGAUCUUCAGGAUAUUGUAGAAUUAUCUUUUUUGGUCUAUAGUUCCAUUCUCUUCAUUUUUCUUUCCUCGUCCUCCUGUAGUAAACUAUGAUGCUCGUAUGGCAGCAUUGCUGGGUCUCUGUUCUGUAGUACAGACUAACUUGUAUCUAAUUUUAACGCUGCUAGGCCUCUGGCCUGGUAGUCACCACCAUGCGGGAGAACCCUUGACCUUCCACCAAAAUUUGCCACAAUAUGUGGCGGUUUUAAUUGGUUUCCUUCAAUCGAGUCUAUAUUCAGAUUGAAUCCCCC
RNAcentral lists this long non-coding RNA (4130 nucleotides) under Coffea arabica (coffee). RNAcentral's name for it is "long non-coding RNA (CARA_LNC006201)". The record is from RNAcentral. Lineage: Eukaryota; Viridiplantae; Streptophyta; Magnoliopsida; Gentianales; Rubiaceae.